Molecule: ribosomal RNA, 530 nt
Filed under: uncultured bacterium
Lineage: Bacteria
Description: partial 16S ribosomal RNA
Rfam family: Bacterial small subunit ribosomal RNA
Source: RNAcentral
UGGGGAAUAUUGCACAAUGGGCGCAAGCCUGAUGCAGCCAUGCCGCGUGUGUGAAGAAGGCCUUCGGGUUGUAAAGCACUUUCAGCGAGGAGGAAGGUGGUGAAGCUUAAUACGCUCAUCAAUUGACGUUACUCGCAGAAGAAGCACCGGCUAACUCCGUGCCAGCAGCCGCGGUAAUACGGAGGGUGCAAGCGUUAAUCGGAAUUACUGGGCGUAAAGCGCACGCAGGCGGUUUGUUAAGUCAGAUGUGAAAUCCCCGGGCUCAACCUGGGAACUGCAUUUGAAACUGGCAAGCUAGAGUCUCGUAGAGGGGGGUAGAAUUCCAGGUGUAGCGGUGAAAUGCGUAGAGAUCUGGAGGAAUACCGGUGGCGAAGGCGGCCCCCUGGACGAAGACUGACGCUCAGGUGCGAAAGCGUGGGGAGCAAAACAGGAUUAGAUACCCUGGUAGUCCACGCUGUAAAACGAUGUCGAUUUUGGAGGUUGUGCCCUUGAGGCGUGGCUUCCGGAGCUAACGCGUUAAAUCGACCGCC